CCUACGGGAGGCAGCAGUGAGGAAUAUUGGUCAAUGGGCGGAAGCCUGAACCAGCCAAGUAGCGUGCGGGAUGAAGGCCCUACGGGUCGUAAACCGCUUUUGCACGGGGAUAAAACCCUCCACUUGUGGACGUCUGCAGGUACCAUGCGAAUAAGGGCCGGCUAAUUCCGUGCCAGCAGCCGCGGUAAUACGGAAGGCCCGAGCGUUAUCCGGAUUCAUUGGGCUUAAAGGGAGCGUGGGCGGGCGUUAAAGUCAGCUGUAAAAUCGCGCGGCCCAACCGCGCCCCGCAGUUGAAACUGGACGCCUUGAGUACACAACAGGCAGGCGGAAUUCGUGGUGUAGCGGUGAAAUGCAUAGAUAUCACGAGGAACCCCGAUUGCGAAGGCAGCCUGCUGGGGUGCGACUGACGCUGAGGCUCGAAGGUGUGGGUAUCAAACAGGAUUAGAUACCCUUGUAGUC
RNAcentral lists this ribosomal RNA (459 nucleotides) under uncultured bacterium. RNAcentral describes it as "partial 16S ribosomal RNA". It matches the Rfam family "Bacterial small subunit ribosomal RNA", at positions 338 to 795 of the family's 1533-position model. The record is from RNAcentral.